Molecule: ribosomal RNA, 2905 nt
Filed under: endosymbiont of Pachyrhynchus infernalis
Lineage: Bacteria; Pseudomonadati; Pseudomonadota; Gammaproteobacteria
Description: Bacterial large subunit ribosomal RNA
Rfam family: Bacterial large subunit ribosomal RNA
Source: Rfam by way of RNAcentral
AAAUAAGUAAAUUAACGUAUAUAGUGGAUGCCUUGGCAAUCAGAGGCUAUGAAGGACGUGCUAAUCUGCGAAAAGUAUCGGCUAGUUGAUAAGAAACGUAACCGGUAAUAUCCGAAUGGGGUAACCUAAAUAAUAGUAAUAUUAUUUAUUAUUAAGUGAAUAAAAUAGCUUAAUAAAGCUAACCAAGAAAACUGAAACAUCUUAGUAUCUUGAGGAAAAGAAAUCAAAUAGAGAUUCCCUUAGUAGUGGUGAGCGAAAAGGGAUUAGUCAAUAGAUUUUAGAAUUAAUAAAAUAUUAUAAGAAUGAUAUUGGAAAAAUCAGCGAAACAAGGUGAUAGCCCUGUAUUUUAAAGUAUUUUAUUAAUAAUCUAUAAGUAGAUCGAGAAAUGUUAUCUUGAUUGAAUAUAGGGGAACCAUCCUCUAAGACUAAAUACUACUGAUUGACCGAUAGUGAACUAGUACCGUGAGGGAAAGGUGAAAAGAACCCCGGAUAGGGGAGUGAAAUAGAUCCUGAAACUGUAUACGUACAAGCAGUAGGAGCAUGAAGUAAAAUUGUGUGACUGCGUACCUUUUGUAUAAUGGGUCAGCGACUUAUAUUUUGUAGCAAGGUUAACUUUAAUAGGAAGCCGUAGGGAAACCGAGUCUUAAAAGGGCGUUUUAGUUGCAAGGUAUAGACCCGAAACCCGGUGAUCUAACUAUGGACAGGUUGAAGAUUAGGUAAUACUAAUUGGAGGACCGAACUGACUAAUGUUGAAAAAUUAGCGGAUGAUCUGUGGUUAGGGGUGAAAGGCCAAUCAAACCGGGAGAUAGCUGGUUCUCCUCGAAAGCUAUUUAGGUAGCGCCUCAUAAAUUAUUUUUUGGGGGUAGAGCACUGUUUCAAUUAGGGACUUUUAGUUACCAAUUUGAUGCAAACUACGAAUACCAUAAAAUUUAUUAUGGGAGACACACUACGAGCGAUAAUGUUCGUUGUGGAAAGGGAAACAACCCAGACCGAAAGCUAAGGUCCCAAAAUUAUGAUUAAGUGGUGAACGAAGUAAAAUUUCUUAAACAACUAGGAUGUUGGCUUAGAAGCAGCCAUCAUUUAAAGAAAGCGUAAUAGCUCACUAGUCUAGUUAUUUUGCGCGGAAGAUUUACGGGGCUAAAAUCAUAUACCGAAGCUUCGGCAAUUAAUUAUUUGUAAUUAAUUGGGUAGAGGAGCGUUCUGUAAGUCUGUGAAGAUAUAUUGUGAAAUAUGUUGGAGAUAUCAGAAGUGCGAAUGCUGACAUGAGUAACGAUAAAACGAGUGAAAAACUCGUUCGCCGAAAAACUAAGGGUUCCUAUCCAACGUUAAUCGAGGUAGGGUAAGUCGAUCCUAAGAUGAGGUCGAAAGGCGUAGUCGAUGGAUAACAGGUUAAUAUUCCUGUACUAAUUAAAUUUUAUUUAAAAAAACGAAGGAAGCUAGAUUUGCUAAGUGAUGGUUAUCUUAGUUUAAGUGUGUGGAUAUAAUUAAAAUUAUAUUAAGGCAUGAUGAUUAAUUAUUUAUAAUAAUUAAAAAAUUGACGCUAAACUUCCUAGAAAAAAUUUUUAAAUCAUAAAAUUUAAUUAAUCGUACCAUAAACCGACACAGGUGGUUAGGUAGAGAAUACUAAGGCGUUUGAGAGAACUCGGGUAAAGGAACUAGGCAAAAUAAUGUCGUAACUUCGGGAUAAGACAUACUAAUUAUGAAUGAAAAAAAUUAUAUUUUAUAACUUUUUAGUAGUUUAAAUUAGUCUAAGAUAACGGCUGGCUGCAACUGUUUAUUAAAAACACAGCACUGUGCUAACAUGAAAAUGGAUGUAUACAGUGUGACGCCUGCCCGGUGCCGGAAGGUUAAUUGAUUAAGUUAUUUUAUUUAAAAAAAGCUUUUGAUAGAAGCCCCGGUAAACGGCGGCCGUAACUAUAACGGUCCUAAGGUAGCGAAAUUCCUUGUCGGGUAAGUUCCGACCUGCACGAAUGGCGUAAUGAUGGCCAGACUGUCUCUACCCGAGACUCAGUGAAAUUGAAAUUGCUGUGAAGAUGCAGUAUACCUGCGGCAAGACGGAAAGACCCCGUGAACCUUUACUAUAGCUUGAUAUUGUUUAUUUAAAUCUAAUGUGUAGAAUAAGUGGGAGAAUAUUAUUUACCAAAAGUAUGUUUUAUUCAUCAGUGAAAUACCACUCUUUAUUUUUAAAUAAACUAACUUUAAUCCGUUAUCCGGAUUUAGGACAAUGUCUGGUGGGUAGUUUGACUGGGGCGGUCUCCUCCUAAAAAGUAACGGAGGAGUACAAAGGUUAGCUAAUUACGGUUGGAAAUCGUAAGGUUAGUACAAAGGCAUAAGCUAGCUUAACUGUAAGAAUGACAGUUCGAACAGAUGCGAAAGCAGGUCUUAGUGAUCCGAUGGUUCUUUAUGGUAUGGCCAUCGCUCAACGGAUAAAAGGUACUCCGGGGAUAACAGGCUAAUAUCGCCCAAGAGUUCAUAUCGACGGCGGUGUUUGGCACCUCGAUGUCGGCUCAUCACAUCCUGGGGCUGAAGAAGGUCCCAAGGGUAUGGCUGUUCGCCAUUUAAAGUGGUACGCGAGCUGGGUUUAGAACGUCGUGAGACAGUUCGGUCCCUAUCUGCCGUAGGCGUUUGGAAGAUUGAAAGGAACUGCUCCUAGUACGAGAGGACCGGAGUGGACAUACCUAUUGUGUUCGGGUUGUCAUGCCAAUGGCAUUGCCCGGUAGCUACGUAUGGAAAAGAUAACUACUGAAAGCAUAUAAGUGGGAAACUUACCUUAAGAUUAAUCUUCCCAGUAAUAUUAAAAUAUUACCUAAAGGGACGUUAAAGACUAUGACGUUGAUAGGUCAGAUGUAUAAGCAUUGCGAAAUGUUGAGCUAACUGAUACUAAUAUCCCGUGAGUCUUAUUUUA